UACUAAAGUCUAUAAAAAGAAACCAUUAAGUCUAAUAGGGUUAAAAAACUUAAAACACUAAAACAAGCCCAUUAUUAAAUUUUGAGAACAAAGAGGGCAAAAUUAGGUGGUUGUAAGAGGGCAUCUUGGGUUGGAAGUUAUCCCGCCUGCAACCCAUUUGAAAAUAUAAAAAAACAGCUGGUCCCCUUUGGUAGAAUUUUGUGGCUAGAUACUUUGAGUAAAAAAUUCCCCGAUUAAAAAGGAGUAGUUUUUGUAUACUGUCCUCUUUUGGAAGAUGAGCUAAUAUUAUUCAAUAAUUCUCUUUUAUUCCUUUUUCCUUAAAAGGAAAUUACUCAUUUCCCCAUUUCCCGCCUGCUCUUCCCCCAUUAAACCUGUGUAAUUAAGUGUGUAGAAGCUGCUGUGCACAGUUUGAAAAAAAGUAGGUGUACUAUGAAAGUACUUGACUUGUUUCUCUACUUCACCGUAAAAGGCAACAAGUGAACAUUUUGGAUUUUGGGGGGGCACUUGGGCCAACGUCAAAAUCACAAACCCAACACCAAACCCAGAAAUUAAAUAAGUGCAUAUAAAAAACGUUGUGGUAAGAAUGUGGUUUAAAAACCUAAGAGGAAGUUCAAGGGAAUCCUCUAGCCACCAAAUCUUUCAACAAAAAGCCACGGUGUUGAAAAGAGGUAACCGAAAGUGGGAAACUUCCAAAAAAAAAGAAAGGUAAAACCUGGAGGCUUUGUGAAGGAAAGUCCCCCUUGUUCCGUGGACCACUGGUUGGGCUUGGCCAAAAGUGUAACAAUGGGAUAGCAAAGAAACAACGCGAGAUAAGGGAAAUGGCCCGGAUGCUUCAAAACCAAAACAAGGGCAAGGGGUUCUCAGGGGGGCAAUUUGUUUUUUGCCAGAGACAAUAACAUGGUUGCACUUUGUAGUUGUAAAUAAACCCAUUUUGUCCUAAAGAGUUGAUAAUUUUAAUUAACUAGGUAAAUGUUCUAGGUCUGGAAGGAGUUAGAGAACUGGCUCUUGUUAAGAAAAUAACAUUCUCUUCUUCUUCCCUUUUCUUAAUGUGCCCAUCUCUACUAUUUCCCUUCUCCGUGAGUGAGAAAAAAAAAACCAUGUAAGGUUUAAUAAUAAGGGGCUAACAUGAGUGUAUUGGCUGAAACAUUUGUUUCCACAUCAGUCCUGUGUCUUCCUCUUUUCGUUUUGUGUUUCAAAAGGCUGUGAUGUGUGUUUUGGCCCGUACAAAAAAAGAUUUGUUCAACCCCACUUUGGGGCUUUCCUCUCCUGCUGGCCCUUUGCCAACUUGGGCCCCUCCUCUAAAUAACCCAUUCCUAAACUGGCCAAGUUCUCUAAUAAGGUGGACCUUUUGAAUUUAUUGUCCACUGAACCCUUCCUUUGGUUCAAUUGGUUUUAAAUUUGGUUGUUGGUAUCCUGUGGUUGACCAAAUUUUCCAAAUUUUAAAAAAACAUUAAAC
This 1456-nucleotide ribosomal RNA is filed under the name Boodlea composita. RNAcentral's name for it is "l-rRNA". Lineage: Eukaryota; Viridiplantae; Chlorophyta; Ulvophyceae; Cladophorales; Boodleaceae. The record is from RNAcentral.